UGCAAGUCUGGUGCCAGCAGCCGCGGUAAUUCCAGCUCCAAUAGCGUAUAUUAAAGUUGUUGCAGUUAAAAAGCUCGUAGUUGAACCUUGGGCUUGGUUGGCCGGUCCGCCUUUUUGGCGAGUACUGGACCCAACCGAGCCUUUCCUUCUGGCUAACCUUUCGCCCUUGUGGUGUUUGGCGAACCAGGACUUUUACUUUGAAAAAAUUAGAGUGUUCAAAGCAGGCCUUUGCUCGAAUAUAUUAGCAUGGAAUAAUAGAAUAGGACGUUAUGGUUCUAUUUUGUUGGUUUCUAGGACCAUCGUAAUGAUUAAUAGGGACGGUCGGGGGCAUCAGUAUUCAGUUGUCAGAGGUGAAAUUCUUGGAUUUACUGAAGACUAACUACUGCGAAAGCAUUUGCCAA
This 401-nucleotide ribosomal RNA is filed under the name uncultured Debaryomyces. RNAcentral's name for it is "SSU rRNA". It matches the Rfam family "Eukaryotic small subunit ribosomal RNA", at positions 554 to 961 of the family's 1831-position model. The record is from RNAcentral. Lineage: Eukaryota; Fungi; Ascomycota; Saccharomycetes; Saccharomycetales; Saccharomycetaceae.